UGGGGAAUAUUGCACAAUGGGGGAAACCCUGAUGCAGCGACGCCGCGUGAGCGAAGAAGGCCUUCGGGUCGUAAAGCUCUUUUAUGAGGGCAGAUAAUGACGGUACCUCAAGAAAAAGCCCCGGCUAACUACGUGCCAGCAGCCGCGGUAAUACGUAGGGGGCUAGCGUUGUCCGGAAUCACUGGGCGUAAAGGGUUCGCAGGCGGAAUAACAAGUCAGAUGUGAAAGGCAUGGGCUCAAACCAUGUAAGCAUUUGAAACUGUAAUUCUUGAGAAGUGGAGAGGGAAGUGGAAUUCCUAGUGUAGCGGUGAAAUGCGUAGAUAUUAGGAGGAAUACCUGUGGGGAAGGCGACUUACUGGACACAAAUCUGACGCUGAGGAACGAAAGCGUGGGUAGCAAACAGG
RNAcentral lists this ribosomal RNA (404 nucleotides) under Verrucomicrobiota bacterium. RNAcentral's name for it is "Verrucomicrobia bacterium partial 16S ribosomal RNA". It matches the Rfam family "Bacterial small subunit ribosomal RNA", at positions 355 to 776 of the family's 1533-position model. Lineage: Bacteria; Pseudomonadati; Verrucomicrobiota. The record is from RNAcentral.